UACGUAGGGGGCAAGCGUUGUCCGGAUUUACUGGGCGUAAAGAGCGCGCAGGCGGUCGUUCAAGUCGCGUGUGAAAGCCCCCGGCUCAACUGGGGAGGGUCACGCGAUACUGAUCGACUCGAAGGCAGGAGAGGGUAGUGGAAUUCCCGGUGUAGUGGUGAAAUUCGUAGAUAUCGGGAGGAACACCAGUGGCGAAGGCGGCGAUCUGGGAAGAUACUGACGCUGAGGUGCGAAAGCGUGGGGAGCAAACAGG
RNAcentral lists this ribosomal RNA (253 nucleotides) under uncultured bacterium. RNAcentral's name for it is "partial 16S ribosomal RNA". It matches the Rfam family "Bacterial small subunit ribosomal RNA", at positions 524 to 776 of the family's 1533-position model. The record is from RNAcentral.